This 465-nucleotide ribosomal RNA is filed under the name uncultured bacterium. Its description in RNAcentral is "partial 16S ribosomal RNA". It matches the Rfam family "Bacterial small subunit ribosomal RNA", at positions 28 to 507 of the family's 1533-position model. The record is from RNAcentral.
GACGAACGCUGGCGGCGUGCUUAACACAUGCCAGUCGAACGGAAAGGCCCCUUUGGGGGUACUCGAGUGGCGAACGGGUGAGUAACACGUGAGUAACCUGCCCUUGACUUCGGGAUAACUUCAGGAAACUGGGGCUAAUACCGGAUAGGAAUCCUUGCUGCAUGGUGGGGGUUGGAAAGCUUCGGCGGUUUUGGAUGGACUCGCGGCGUAUCAGCUUGUUGGUGGGGUAGUGGCUUACCACGGGUUUGACGGGUAGCCGGGCUGAGAGGGCGGUCGGCCACGGUGGGGCUGAGAUACGGCGCAGACUCCGACGGGAGGCAGCAGUUGGGAAUAUUGCACAAGGGGCGGAAGCCUGAGGGAGCAGCGCCGCGUGCGGUAGGACGGCCUUCGGGUUGUAAACCGCGUUCAGCAGGGGCUGAGCGUGUGGUGACGGUACCUGCAUAAGAAGCACCGGCUAACUACGUG